This 253-nucleotide ribosomal RNA is filed under the name uncultured bacterium. RNAcentral describes it as "partial 16S ribosomal RNA". It matches the Rfam family "Bacterial small subunit ribosomal RNA", at positions 524 to 776 of the family's 1533-position model. The record is from RNAcentral.
UACGUAGGGUGCAGGCGUUAAUCGGAAUUACUGGGCGUAAAGCGUGCGCAGGCGGUCUUUUAAGUCAGAUGUGAAAUCCCCGGGCUUAACCUGGGAACUGCGUUUGAAACUGGAAGGCUUGAGUGUGGCAGAGGGGGGUGGAAUUCCACGUGUAGCAGUGAAAUGCGUAGAGAUGUGGAGGAACACCGAUGGCGAAGGCAGCCCCUUGGGCUAACACUGACGCUCAUGCACGAAAGCGUGGGGAGCAUACAGG